Molecule: transfer RNA, 60 nt
Filed under: Schistocephalus solidus
Lineage: Eukaryota; Metazoa; Platyhelminthes; Cestoda; Diphyllobothriidea; Diphyllobothriidae
Rfam family: tRNA
About the family: Transfer RNA (tRNA) molecules are approximately 80 nucleotides in length.
Source: Rfam by way of RNAcentral
UGGCUCAAUGGUUAGAGCGUUUGAUUUCUGAUCUAAAGGUCACGCGUUUGAGCCUCGCGU